RNAcentral lists this ribosomal RNA (497 nucleotides) under uncultured bacterium. RNAcentral's name for it is "partial 16S ribosomal RNA". It matches the Rfam family "Bacterial small subunit ribosomal RNA", at positions 28 to 507 of the family's 1533-position model. The record is from RNAcentral.
GAUGAACGCUGGCGGCGUGCCUAAUACAUGCAAGUCGAGCGAACAGAUGAGGAGCUUGCUCCUCUGACAUUAGCGGCGGACGGGUGAGUAACACGUGGAUAACCUACCUAUAAGACUGGGAUAACUUCGGGAAACCGGAGCUAAUACCGGAUAAUAUAUUGAACCGCAUGGUUCAAUAGUGAAAGACGGUUUUGCUGUCACUUAUAGAUGGAUCCGCGCCGCAUUAGCUAGUUGGUAAGGUAACGGCUUACCAAGGCAACGAUGCGUAGCCGACCUGAGAGGGUGAUCCGCCAACCUGGCACUGAGAAACGGUCCAGUCUCCGACGGGAGGCAGCAGUAGGAAAUCCUCCGCAAUGCUCGAAAGCCUGACGUAGCAACGCCGCGUGACUGAUGAAGGUCUUCGGAUCGUAAAACUCUGUUAUUAGGGAAGAACAAAUGUGUAAGUAACUAUGCCCGUCUUGACGGUGCCUACUCAGAAAGCCACGGCUAACUACGUG